GGAAAACUAGUCUGGCUGGUUCUACUUCAGCUCAAUCUUUGAGGGCAAUUUUUGCUGUCAGCCAUACCAGGGAAUAUUAGAGUAACCGUCGCCCUGAUGCCAGGUCCCUAUUUCAGGACGCAUACGCACACGCACAUGCACACACACGCACACACACACACAUACACUCAGAGUCACUGGAAAAUUAUAAAUUGACAUAACUUCCUAGAUGGCCUGAGGACUUCAGAGAGUUAGAGAAGCAUCAAUCAGAUAAAACCUGUGUCUGUCACCUAUGUUUUAAAAUGUUACAGUCAUGUUUAAAUAGCUGGCAGCCCCCUGCUCCCUGGCUGAAUGCCGUGAACACAGUCUUCAGCACACCUUGUCAUCAGAGGAACUUUCUGGAAGCCAGCCAGCUGCAGGGCCCAAGGUCGAGCAACCACCAUGACUCUCAGCAACAAGGAGAACCUUGGGGGACCCGAGGAGGUGAUGGCAGGUGGAGAGGCAGCUAAAGUCCUCUGCAGAGCUGCCCGCUUGCCACUGUGGCUCUGUUGAUGGCAGCGGCUGCUGUGACCGCUGGGAAGGCUUUAUCUACUGAUCAACACAGUGUGCCAGAGGGCUGAGGGGACAGCCCGCUUUGGCAGAGGGUUCCAGUUGUAUGUAGCCUGCAACCAGACGGCAGAAGGGAAAGGGGAAAAAAAAUUUCCAACAACAGACCAGCAGGAUCAGUUCCUUAGAGCACAGACACCAGGGCUGGGCCUUGCUUGCUCCAUCCUGGCUCUUGCCGCCGUGGCUGCCUGCUUGCAUUAAUUACCUCUUGGUCCCAGACACAUUUACUCCAAACUACCUUUAGGGUUCAAAGUGCAGGAACAGAACCACUUGGGUUGAAAGCAAUUAACAAACAGGUUAUUUUAAAUUAACAGACACUUUUACCAGCUGGCCCAAAGAGCUGGUUCACGCCGGUCAUUGCAGGGCUGGCAACGCCAUGUAUCUGGUGAAUGAGCGAAUGGGUCAUGUGCUUUCUAGCAAUGCUGGCUAAUUUUAUUUUGAGAUUUAAAUAUCUUGAGACAUAGCUGCCAGAGAGUUAAACCGAGGCAAAACAAACAAACAAAAAAACCCACAAAAAAAAAAAAACAAACCAAAAGAACCCUCACAAAACAAAAACAGAAGACAAAACACUAAAAAUUUGACAAAUUUCUAGGAUGAGUCACCUUCAUUUGUAUGUUUGAAUUUCUGUAAAUGCAUUAUUAAUUUGUUGUCAGUUUUCUUUUCACUGUGAAUUUUUCUAGCAUCCCUGGAGUAGCUGUUACAGUUUUGGGGAUAUAUCCUUUCUUCUUGCAUUGUAGGGUAUAUGCAGCUUUUUUCUCCUAUUUUGAUGCAAGAAGGCACUCUGUUUUAUAUUGCUUUUCCUGUAGUGGGGAUUUAAUAAAGUUGAAUGAAAAAAAUGAAUUGUUUGUUUC
Molecule: long non-coding RNA, 1436 nt
Filed under: Vulpes vulpes (red fox)
Lineage: Eukaryota; Metazoa; Chordata; Mammalia; Carnivora; Canidae
Description: lncRNA (ENSVVUG00000004278.1)
Source: RNAcentral